RNAcentral lists this ribosomal RNA (406 nucleotides) under Trachydactylus hajarensis. Its description in RNAcentral is "partial small subunit ribosomal RNA". It matches the Rfam family "Bacterial small subunit ribosomal RNA", at positions 784 to 1386 of the family's 1533-position model. The record is from RNAcentral. Lineage: Eukaryota; Metazoa; Chordata; Lepidosauria; Squamata; Gekkonidae.
ACCCCACUAUGCCUAGCCUUAAACUUUGAUAGUAAGACCUACUAUCCGCCAGAGAAUUACGAGCGAAAAGCUUAAAACUCAAAAGACUUGACGGUGCCCCAAACCAACCUAGAGGAGCCUGUCCUAUAAUCGAUGACCCGCGCUUUACCCCACCUGCCCUCGCACAAAUCAGCCAGCCUAUAUACCGCCGCCUUCCAGCCUACCUUACAAAAGUAACACAGCAAGCAAAAUAGCCCCUCCGCUAAAACGUCAGGUCAAGGUGUAGCUAAUGGGCAGGAAAGAGAUGGGCUACAUUCUCUACGCACAUAGACCACCACCCCCGGUAUCAUGAAAACAUACCUCAAAGGAGGAUUUAGUAGUAAUUUAGGCAAGACUUCCUAAAUGAAUCCUGCUCUGGGGCGCGUAC